This 496-nucleotide ribosomal RNA is filed under the name uncultured bacterium. Its description in RNAcentral is "partial 16S ribosomal RNA". It matches the Rfam family "Bacterial small subunit ribosomal RNA", at positions 28 to 506 of the family's 1533-position model. The record is from RNAcentral.
GAUGAACGCUGGCGGCGUGCCUAAUCCAUGCAAGUCGAGCGAACAGACGAGGAGCUUGCUCCUCUGACGUUAGCGGCGGACGGGUGAGUAACACGUGGAUAACCUACCUAUAAGACUGGGAUAACUUCGGGAAACCGGAGCUAAUACCGGAUAAUAUAUUGAACCGCAUGGUUCAAUAGUGAAAGACGGUUUUGCUGUCACUUAUAGAUGGAUCCGCGCCGCAUUAGCUAGUUGGUAAGGUAACGGCUUACCAAGGCGACGAUGCGUAGCCGACCUGAGAGGGUGAUCGGCCACACUGGAACUGAGACACGGUCCAGACUCCUACGGGAGGCAGCAGUAGGGAAUCUUCCGCAAUGGGCGAAAGCCUGACGGAGCAACGCCGCGUGAGUGAUGAAGGUCUUCGGAUCGUAAAACUCUGUUAUUAGGGAAGAACAAAUGUGUAAGUAACUAUGCACGUCUUGACGGUACCUAAUCAGAAAGCCACGGCUAACUACGU